This 253-nucleotide ribosomal RNA is filed under the name uncultured bacterium. RNAcentral describes it as "partial 16S ribosomal RNA". It matches the Rfam family "Bacterial small subunit ribosomal RNA", at positions 524 to 776 of the family's 1533-position model. The record is from RNAcentral.
UACGGAGGGUGCGAGCGUUAAUCGGAAUUAUUGGGCGUAAAGGGUGCGUAGGUGGUUUAUUAAGUUAUCUGUGAAAGCCCUGGGCUCAACCUGGGAAGGUCAGAUAAAACUGGUAGACUCGAGUACGGGAGAGGGUAGUGGAAUUUCCGGUGUAGCGGUGAAAUGCGUAGAGAUUGGAAAGAACACCAAUGGCGAAGGCACUUUACUGGGCUAUUACUGACACUGAGAGACGAAAGCUAGGGGAGCAAAUGGG